AAUGAUUGAGAACAUGAAAGGAAUCAAGAUGAUAAAUUAAAGGAUAUGAUUAACAUCAUUCAACACAAAUAUCAAUAUGAUAAAAAUUAUUCAAUCCUAAAGUCUCAUCACAAUACACCUCAGAAUUAACAAUAAACCAACAUAAUUAUUCAAAAGAUAUUUGGGGUUCAAAAUGGACCUUCUAGAUGGCAAAUAUUGAUAAGAAAAAGUUGAAACAAUGACAAGACAAAAGGAAACAGUGGCAGUGCAUGCAAGCUAUGCUUAGAAGAGGUUGUCAUGGUUGGCACAUUAUUUCAUGCUCUAUAAAAAGCUAAUUAGCACAUGGACUUGCUUGCAGGAUGUGCAACUUCAUCCUCUUUGUUCCUGUACCAGCGAUGUCAACCAUUGUUGUAUAUGGAGAGAGAUUAGAGCUGAUAAAGUUUUGAUUAUUAAAUUUCUCUCUCUACUAUUUCUCUUGAAUCUGCUCAUAUAAGGAUUGUUGGGCUGCAUGGAUUAAGUGGUUGUGUAAUACUUAAUAAUAGUUGAGAAUUACAAAAUGAGCACUCAAAUGGCUGCAAACACUUUUUUUUUUCUUGGAAAGUUUAUUGGAAAAGAAGGGUAAACAAUUAUGUUAUGAUAAAUGACAUUCUUAAAAUAAAUUUAGGAGAAAACAAUUAGGAAAGGUAAAUUUACCUUGGAAAUGAUGUAAUAAGAAUGAUCUUUAUUUUCUCGUAAACAUAACACACCUCUUACUCAAAUUUUUAAAACCAAUGCAUAUUUUAAAAUUCUUAAUCUCCUUAAAGAACUAGGUGAUGACUCCAUUUUCUAUAUUUUUUUUUAAUUUUAGAGGUUCAUAUUCAUGUCAAGUUUGAUACCUUUAAUGUCACAUCCAAGAAAAAACCUAUUUAGAACUUAUAAUUUCUAGGCUGAUUUUCAGUUACAACAAAUUAAACACAAAGCAUUGAAAACUAGAAAUAUAAAAUAUACAUAAUAUCAAUAUAUACAAUACAAAAUUGAUUAUCCUUGAUACAACAUCCGGAAAGAAAUUUAAAUAUGAUUUACAAUUCUUGAACCAAUUUUAGACUACAAGAAAUAUAAAUCAAUCAACAUGUUAAAUAAAAAUAACAAAAACAAACUUAUACAUUGAUCAAACCAAACAAGAUUCAUCACAAUUCAAAAACUAACAACACGUUAAAAAUUAUUCAAAAUAAACAAUUUAAUUCAAAAAUAACCUUUGAGAGGUACGAGCGUCAACAAGAAACUGUUGGAAAUAGUCCGUCAACCUCGGCCCAUGUACUCCAUGACUAUACUUGCAUAAACAAACAGAAAAACAAGAUGAUUUCAUGGGGGAAAGAGAUUAUGAGCGUUAUUGGGCUCAUUGGAGUAUUUUGGCUCGGUUUUUGUACUGAGAGGAAGGAUGAAAUUUGUGUUAAUUUGGGGUUUGGUAAUGAGAGAUGAGGUUGGCCUGGCAGUGACGUGGAGAUGUUGGGUUUCCAAAGAAUAUGAUGGUUUAGUGUUUGCUGCUGUCGUAGGUUUAUCUGGUUUCGUGAGGGGGAUAAGACAGCGUGUGGUUAAUGCUGAGGAAGAGACUAGACUGUCGUGAGAAGUUUUUAAAAUAUGAGGUGGUGGUUUAUCGGUCGGAGAGUGGAAAAAGGAUACAAUGGCUAUUGUGAUUUUUUGUUUUGAAUGAGAUUUUUUUUCCGACUGGGAGAGAGUGUUAUUGCUUUUUUAUAAUGUCUUGUCUAGG
This 1726-nucleotide long non-coding RNA is filed under the name Populus trichocarpa (black cottonwood). RNAcentral's name for it is "long non-coding RNA (PTRI_LNC001957)". The record is from RNAcentral. Lineage: Eukaryota; Viridiplantae; Streptophyta; Magnoliopsida; Malpighiales; Salicaceae.